GUGGGGAAUUUUGGACAAUGGGCGCAAGCCUGAUCCAGCAAUGCCGCGUGCAGGAAGAAGGCCUUCGGGUUGUAAACUGCUUUUGUACGGAACGAAACGGUCCUGGUUAAUACCUGGGGCUAAUGACGGUACCGUAAGAAUAAGCACCGGCUAACUACGUGCCAGCAGCCGCGGUAAUACGUAGGGUGCGAGCGUUAAUCGGAAUUACUGGGCGUAAAGCGUGCGCAGGCGGUGCUGUAAGACAGGCGUGAAAUCCCCGGGCUCAACCUGGGAAUUGCGCUUGUGACUGCAGUGCUGGAGGACGGCAGAGGGGGAUGGAAUUCCGCGUGUAGCAGUGAAAUGCGUAGAUAUGCGGAGGAACACCGAUGGCGAAGGCAGUCCCCUGGGCCUGUACUGACGCUCAUGCACGAAAGCGUGGGGAGCAAACAGGAUUAGAAACCCCGGUAGUCC
RNAcentral lists this ribosomal RNA (450 nucleotides) under uncultured bacterium. Its description in RNAcentral is "partial 16S ribosomal RNA". It matches the Rfam family "Bacterial small subunit ribosomal RNA", at positions 354 to 796 of the family's 1533-position model. The record is from RNAcentral.